Dendrobium catenatum is the source of this 584-nucleotide long non-coding RNA. RefSeq lists it as uncharacterized. The record is from RefSeq and is a predicted model, not a curated record. The transcript is spliced from 2 exons. NCBI's taxonomy places the organism in Eukaryota, Viridiplantae, Streptophyta, Magnoliopsida, Asparagales, Orchidaceae.
UCAUUUUUUGAUUUCUUCUGAUGAUGAUGCCACAAACUUUGUGCAAAUUAUUGGGCCAGGUGACCGAAGCCAUCUCUCCGUUCGGUCGCCAAUAGAAAUGCGACAUCUGUUAGGCAUUUUUUUAAUUUAAUAUAUUUGCUUUAUGUCUUGUCAGAGUUAGCGACCCGACCCGAUAACGCAUUUCAUUUGAACUUUUAAGCAUUUGCCGCCCUAUUUUUGCAUUUUGAUACCCGCGAAAGACGCAAAUAUGUACUGCUGUAGAAGAAAAAACGAGCCAGAAAAUUGCAGAGAAGAAAUGGACUGCUCAGCGAAGAGGGAGGUGGAAGAGGGCAUGGAAGAGGGAGUGCAUGAAUCGGAAAGGAUGCAUGAAUCGAAAGGGCUGGUGCAUGAAUUGGAAUCAGAACCUAACUUAGCCGGAAAUUCCUCUGGUUUCAACAUAUCGGUAAGUUAGAAAGUUGUAAACAGUCAGUUUUAAUAUUAUCGCCGCAGAAAGAAGACGUAGGUUUCAGCUCAUUAGUCUUAGGAUCUUUGAUUUUGCGAUUUUUAAGCAGAAUAAAUUUCUUUUGGCGAAAAAGUAAAAAAAA